Molecule: transfer RNA, 73 nt
Organism: Nostoc punctiforme PCC 73102
Lineage: Bacteria; Bacillati; Cyanobacteriota; Cyanophyceae; Nostocales; Nostocaceae
Rfam family: tRNA
About the family: Transfer RNA (tRNA) molecules are approximately 80 nucleotides in length.
Source: Rfam
GCCCUUGUAGCCCAACGGAAGAGGCACUUCGCCUAGAACGAAGAGGAUGCUGGUUCAAAUCCAGUCAGGGGUA